RNAcentral lists this ribosomal RNA (451 nucleotides) under uncultured bacterium. RNAcentral's name for it is "partial 16S ribosomal RNA". It matches the Rfam family "Bacterial small subunit ribosomal RNA", at positions 354 to 796 of the family's 1533-position model. The record is from RNAcentral.
GUAGGGAAUAUUGGACAAUGGGGGGAACCCUGAUCCAGCCAUGCCGCGUGUGUGAAGAAGGCCUUUUGGUUGUAAAGCACUUUAAGCGAGGAGGAGGCUACCGAGAUUAAUACUCUUGGAUAGUGGACGUUACUCGCAGAAUAAGCACCGGCUAACUCUGUGCCAGCAGCCGCGGUAAUACAGAGGGUGCAAGCGUUAAUCGGAUUUACUGGGCGUAAAGCGCGCGUAGGUGGCCAAUUAAGUCAAAUGUGAAAUCCCCGAGCUUAACUUGGGAAUUGCAUUCGAUACUGGUUGGCUAGAGUAUGGGAGAGGAUGGUAGAAUUCCAGGUGUAGCGGUGAAAUGCGUAGAGAUCUGGAGGAAUACCGAUGGCGAAGGCAGCCAUCUGGCCUAAUACUGACACUGAGGUGCGAAAGCAUGGGGAGCAAACAGGAUUAGAAACCCUGGUAGUCC